AUGCAGGUUUGCUGUAGGACUUCUUUGAAUUCUCUGCAGAUGAAUAAAGAGGAAGGAAAAAAAAGACAAAAUAGCUUAGUUAUGAAUUCUGCUUUAAUAAACGUGCUUUCUAUGGAUGAUUCAUGGAUUUUGAUUACAUUCAAUUAUUUUUCAACAGCUCAUGCUUCAUCUCAUCAAGAAUUUCAAUCAUUGCCAACAGAUUAAUUAUCAUUCUACUGGUAGCCUUUUGUCUAAUAAACAGUCAUAAUGAGCAUGUUCGGUCUUGGCA
This 268-nucleotide long non-coding RNA is filed under the name Phasianus colchicus (ring-necked pheasant). Its description in RNAcentral is "lncRNA (ENSPCLG00000021260.1)". Lineage: Eukaryota; Metazoa; Chordata; Aves; Galliformes; Phasianidae. The record is from RNAcentral.